This 253-nucleotide ribosomal RNA is filed under the name uncultured bacterium. Its description in RNAcentral is "partial 16S ribosomal RNA". It matches the Rfam family "Bacterial small subunit ribosomal RNA", at positions 524 to 776 of the family's 1533-position model. The record is from RNAcentral.
UACGUAGGUGGCAAGCGUUGUCCGGAAUUACUGGGUGUAAAGGGCGCGUAGGCGGGUUUACAAGUCAGAUGUGAAAAUCCGGGGCUCAACCCCGGAAUUGCAACUGAAACUGUAUAUCUUGAGUGUUGGAGAGGGAAGUGGAAUUCCUAGUGUAGCGGUGAAAUGCGUAGAUAUUAGGAGGAACACCAGUGGCGAAGGCGACUUUCUGGCCAACAACUGACGCUGAGGCGCGAAAGCGUGGGGAGCAAACAGG